RNAcentral lists this ribosomal RNA (330 nucleotides) under uncultured eukaryote. RNAcentral describes it as "partial 18S ribosomal RNA". It matches the Rfam family "Eukaryotic small subunit ribosomal RNA", at positions 1470 to 1796 of the family's 1831-position model. The record is from RNAcentral.
CCCUUAGAUGUUCGGGGCCGCACGCGCGCUACACUGAAGGAAUCAGCACGUCUUUCUCCUUGUCCGAAAGGACUGGGUAACCCGCUGAACCUCCUUCGUGCUAGGGAUUGGGGCUUGUAAUUCUUCCCCAUGAACGAGGAAUUCCCAGUAAGCGCGAGUCACAAGCUCGCGUUGAUUACGUCCCUGCCCUUUGUACACACCGCCCGUCGCUACUACCGAUUGGAUGGUUUAGUGAGAUCCUCGGAUUGGUCCCGGAGCGGCCUCUGGUCGUGCCGGAGUGCCGAAAAGAAUGUCGAACUUGAUCAUCUAGAGGAAGUAAAAGUCGUAACA